UACUUUUCCAUGAUGAAAUCAUUUCGGAUGUAAAGCAGUCUACGGAUGCAAAACCCGAGAGCGCAAAACCGUGUGGAUUUUUCCGUUGCCUUCCUUCUGAUCUUUAUU
Molecule: small nucleolar RNA, 108 nt
Filed under: Hypholoma sublateritium FD-334 SS-4
Lineage: Eukaryota; Fungi; Basidiomycota; Agaricomycetes; Agaricales; Strophariaceae
Description: Small nucleolar RNA Z13/snr52
Rfam family: Small nucleolar RNA Z13/snr52
About the family: Z13 or snr52 is a member of the C/D class of snoRNA which contain the C (UGAUGA) and D (CUGA) box motifs.
Source: Rfam by way of RNAcentral